AACGAACGCUGGCGGCGUGGCUAAGACAUGCAAGUCGAACGGACCAGUAAUUUAUUAUUGGUCAGUGGCGAAAGGGUGAGUAAUGGAUAGGUAACGUACCCCGAGCUCUGGGAUAGCCAUCCGAAAGGAUGGGUAAUACCGGAUAACAUCACGGGUCGAUAGGCUCGUGAUCAAAGAUUCAUCGGCGCGGGAGCGGCCUAUCUCCUAUCAGCUAGUUGGUGAGGUAACGGCCCACCAAGGCGAAGACGGGUAGCGGGACUGAGAGGUUGGCCCGCCACAUCGGAACUGAGACACUGUCCGGACCCCCACGGGGGGCUGCAGUAACGAAUCUUGGGCAAUGGGCGAAAGCCUGACCCAGCGACGCCGCGUGCGGGAGGAAGUCCUUCGGGAUGUAAACCGCUGUCAGGGGUAUGAAAGUCCGCUUCGGCGGAUUGAUCUAACCCAGAGGAAGUCACGGCUAACUCUGUGCCAGCAGCCGCGGUAAGACAGAGGUGGCUAGC
Molecule: ribosomal RNA, 500 nt
Filed under: uncultured bacterium
Lineage: Bacteria
Description: bacterial SSU rRNA
Rfam family: Bacterial small subunit ribosomal RNA
Source: RNAcentral